CUGCAGUCCUACCGCUCCAACAGCAGGGUGAGCUCCGGCCCUCCGAACAACCACCGUGGCUUCGGCUUCGUAAUCUUCUAC
This 81-nucleotide ribosomal RNA is filed under the name Heterocapsa rotundata. Its description in RNAcentral is "partial Eukaryotic large subunit ribosomal RNA". The record is from RNAcentral. Lineage: Eukaryota; Dinophyceae; Peridiniales; Heterocapsaceae.